This 380-nucleotide ribosomal RNA is filed under the name uncultured eukaryote. Its description in RNAcentral is "partial 18S ribosomal RNA". It matches the Rfam family "Eukaryotic small subunit ribosomal RNA", at positions 592 to 976 of the family's 1831-position model. The record is from RNAcentral.
CAAUAGCGUAUAUUAAAGUUGUUGCAGUUAGAACGCUCGUAGUCGGAUUUCGGGGCGGGCCGACCGGUCUGCCGAUGGGUAUGCACUGGUCGGCGCGUCCUUCCUUCCGGAGACCGUCCCUACUCUUAACUGAGCGGGGGCGGGAGACGGGACUUUUACUUUGAAAAAAUCAGAGUGUUUCAAGCAGGCAGCUCGCUCUUGCAUGGAUUAGCAUGGGAUAAUGAAAUAGGACUUUGGUGCUAUUUUGUUGGUUUCGAACACCGAAGUAAUGAUGAGAGGGGACAGUCAGGGGCACUCGUAUUCCGCCGAGAGAGGUGAAAUUCUCAGACCAGCGGAAGACGAACCACUGCGAAAGCAUUUGCCAGGGAUGUUUUCACUGA